Molecule: ribosomal RNA, 253 nt
Filed under: uncultured bacterium
Lineage: Bacteria
Description: partial 16S ribosomal RNA
Rfam family: Bacterial small subunit ribosomal RNA
Source: RNAcentral
UACGAGGGGGGCAAGCGUUGUUCGGAAUUAUUGGGCGUAAAGGGUGCGUAGGCGGUGCGGUAAGUCUGUUGUGAAAUCUCCGGGCUCAACUCGGAGUCUGCAUCAGAAACUGCCGUGCUGGAGUGUGGGAGAGGUGAGUGGAAUUCCCGGUGUAGCGGUGAAAUGCGUAGAGAUCGGGAGGAACACCUGUGGUGUAGACAGCUUACUGGACCACUUCUGACGCUGAGACACGAAAGCGUGGGUAGCAAACAGG